GCUUACACAUGCAGUCGAGCGGUAACAGGGGGUGCUUGCACCCCGCUGACGAGCGGCGGACGGGUGAGUAAUGCAUAGGAAUCUGCCCAGUAGUGGGGGAUAGCCCGGGGAAACCCGGAUUAAUACCGCAUACGCCCUUUGGGGGAAAGCAGGGGAUCUUCGGACCUUGCGCUAUUGGAUGAGCCUAUGUCGGAUUAGCUAGUUGGUGGGGUAAAGGCCUACCAAGGCGACGAUCCGUAGCUGGUCUGAGAGGAUGAUCAGCCACAUCGGGACUGAGACACGGCCCGAACUCCUACGGGAGGCAGCAGUGGGGAAUAUUGGACAAUGGGGGCAACCCUGAUCCAGCCAUGCCGCGUGUGUGAAGAAGGCUUUCGGGUUGUAAAGCACUUUCAGUGAGGAGGAAAACCUUCUGGUUAAUACCCAUGAGGCUUGACGUUACUCACAGAAGAAGCACCGGCUAACUCCGUGCCAGCAGCCGCGGUAAUACGGAGGGUGCAAGCGUUAAUCGGAAUUACUGGGCGUAAAGCGCGCGUAGGUGGUUUGAUAAGCGAGAUGUGAAAGCCCCGGGCUUAACCUGGGAACGGCAUUUCGAACUGUCAGGCUAGAGUGU
RNAcentral lists this ribosomal RNA (610 nucleotides) under Marinobacter sp. RNAcentral describes it as "bacterial SSU rRNA". It matches the Rfam family "Bacterial small subunit ribosomal RNA", at positions 46 to 649 of the family's 1533-position model. The record is from RNAcentral. Lineage: Bacteria; Pseudomonadati; Pseudomonadota; Gammaproteobacteria; Pseudomonadales; Marinobacteraceae.